AAGUCGUAACAAGGUCAUCGUAGGUGAACCUGCGGUGGGAUCAUCAAUAAUCUAACUACCACAACAAAUGGUGUGAACUAGUGCUGAUUAUGUUUAAUGGGAUUGGGUUUUAUUAUCCGGUUUCAUAUUUUCUUUCUCCAGUGUGCUCUCUCGGGGGCGCUUUGGAGAUGGGAGACAACCUGCACUUAACAGUGUGUUUAUGGCCAAAUACAACAACUUUCCGUAUGAUUGCAGACUUGUCUGUGGUUAGGAAAACAAACGUAUACUUUUCUAUCUAGCUGUGAUGGCAAGAUAUAAAUUACAUAAAACUAUUAAUGGUGGAUCACUUGGCUCUC
This 335-nucleotide unclassified non-coding RNA is filed under the name Linderina macrospora. RNAcentral's name for it is "partial internal transcribed spacer region". The stretch from base 1 to 46 matches the Rfam family "Eukaryotic small subunit ribosomal RNA", at positions 1786 to 1831 of the family's 1831-position model. Lineage: Eukaryota; Fungi; Kickxellomycota; Kickxellomycetes; Kickxellales; Kickxellaceae. The record is from RNAcentral.